GUUCUCACCACGAAAGGGAUUGAUGACAUGGCACUCAAGUAUUUUGUGGAAGCGGGUGCUAUUGCUGUUAGGCGAGUUAAGAAGGAUGACAUGCGCCAUGUCGCCAAGGCUACUGGAGCAACCAUGGUUUCGACAUUUGCUGACAUGGAGGGGGAGGAAACCUUCGAGCCAUCACAUCUUGGAUAUGCUGAUGAGGUCGUAGAGGAAAGAAUUGCUGAUGAUGAUGUCGUUAUGAUAAAGGGAUCUAAAAC
Molecule: unclassified non-coding RNA, 251 nt
Filed under: Hevea brasiliensis (rubber tree)
Lineage: Eukaryota; Viridiplantae; Streptophyta; Magnoliopsida; Malpighiales; Euphorbiaceae
Source: RNAcentral